RNAcentral lists this transfer RNA (65 nucleotides) under Arboridia sp. 1 NZ-2023a. RNAcentral describes it as "tRNA-Pro". The record is from RNAcentral. Lineage: Eukaryota; Metazoa; Arthropoda; Insecta; Hemiptera; Cicadellidae.
CAGCAUGUAUUUUAAUAUAAAAUAUAAACUUUGGGAGUUUAAGAUAUGUUUAUUCAUUUUGCUGA